CAAGAGGAUCGAGUUAGAACAAAGGGAACAGACCUCACCUGGCAGAAUCACAUCCCUCAGCAAAAGAGGAGGCAACGGUGAGGCAAAGUGUCUUUGCUCAACACCAAUGAGCAAAGCACGAGAUGAAGCUGCCUUUUCCAAAAGGUUGCUGCGAUCAGCAACAACUUUCAUAAGCUUAAUGAAGAGGAGGGAAGCAUUGUGAGAGUCAAGCAAGAGCCUACGGAUGGAAGGAAGGGAGAAGGAGGAGAAGGCGGCGGCGCGUGAUACUUGUGACUACAUGAAAUAAGCUGUGAAACAAAGAGGUCAACAGAUUCCUUCUCCACUGUCUGCAACGACAGCAUCGUCGACUGCCUCUCACCACCCUUCAACCACUGCGCCCUCAUCUUCUUCCUCACCUCCGGCAGCAUCUGGCACAAAGCCUCCGGAAACAACUUCAAGUUCUGGGUUUUAGAUGGCACUACCUCUCACCAAUGGCUUGACUGAGAACAUGAAAACUACACAACAAGAUUUUAACCAAGCCACUAUCUCCUACUCAGCAUUUGCAAAUCAGCGAGGUCCACCAAAUCAUCGUAACGGCAGAGCACCAACAAGACAGACGGCAACUUACCUUCAGCUUCAUGAGAGGCUUCGGCUUUCUAGUUUCCCUCUUCCUUGAGUCCUUCCUAUAAUCCCCGCCGUUUGAAAGCUUGGGCAUUCUGUAUCUGUACUGCGAAGCUUCACCGCCGGCCUCCUCCCAAUCGUUUCAUUUGUCGCUCCCGUCGUCAUCGUUAUCAAAUCCGUAGACUUCAAUGAUCUCGCCUACCAGUUCCGACGGCGCGAGCGUGACAGCGGAGUAGAAGGAACGAGGUGCGCAGUUCUGGCGAAGGUGGUGGUGGGGGCCCGAGAUCGACUGGUGAUGAUCGUCACUUAAGGGGAGAAAGGAACAGAAGACGACGAAUGAUUAGCAGUUUAGCACAUCAAGGUGACAACUCAGUGUGUGUUUGGAUAUGGUGCAUAAUCGAUUUUUGGGUAAAAAAAAAUGAUUCUCCACAGAAUUAUUCAAACACUCAGUUUUUUGGUUAAUCGAUUUUUAAACUAAAAAUUAAUUUUUUUGGUAGCUGAGAAUCCAAAACUUUUGCCAAAAAACUUUUCAAAAACGUUGACAAAAAUGAUAAAGAAAGACUCAAAAAAAUAAAAAUAAAAAAACACUUAAUUUAAUAAAAAUAAAAUUAAA
Prosopis cineraria is the source of this 1213-nucleotide long non-coding RNA. RefSeq lists it as uncharacterized. NCBI's taxonomy places the organism in Eukaryota, Viridiplantae, Streptophyta, Magnoliopsida, Fabales, Fabaceae. The record is from RefSeq and is a predicted model, not a curated record. The transcript has 3 exons.